Molecule: microRNA precursor, 160 nt
Filed under: Setaria italica (foxtail millet)
Lineage: Eukaryota; Viridiplantae; Streptophyta; Magnoliopsida; Poales; Poaceae
Also listed under: 1 other name
Description: MIR2118 microRNA precursor family
Rfam family: MIR2118 microRNA precursor family
Source: Rfam by way of RNAcentral
GUCGGGAAGAGGAAGAAAGAGCCUAAGAGCAGUGGGAGUGGGAACAUGAUGGAAAGCCUACUAUGUUUGUUUCCUCUAACGAUGGGGGAGAAAACAUUGUUAGUUUCCGAUGCCUCCCAUUCCUAUUGUUCUUAGGUGCUCCUUCCUCUUCCUUCUGUCU